AAAUAAAAAAUAAAAAAUAAAAACUUAAGAGUAAGCUUCAAAGUGUAAUAUAAUUUUUAUUAUAUUUUAUGCUCUGUUCAGUAAUAAUAUUAUAUUAUUUAAUGUAAUGUACAUAUAAAAAUACAUGUAAUUAUGAUUAUUUAUUUUGAUUAUUUCAUUUAUUAUCACCAUCAUUACUGCUACUAUAAUCGCCAUCCAAUCACAACCAUUAUCACUAUUACUACCCACUACUUGGCCACCCCCACCACUUAGCCAGUGCCACAACUACAACCCCACCCAGCCACCACCACUACUGAACAACCACUACCACCACCACCGCCAUCAACACUAUCACCCAAUUGCAGCUACUACCACUAACACUACCAACACUAUCUUUACUCGACCACCACUACCACUACCCUAUCACCACCACUACCUGGCCGCUACCGCUAUUGCUACCACUAUCACCACCACCACCUGGCCGCUACCGCUAUUGCUACCACUAUCACCACCACCACCUGGCCGCUACCGCUAUUGCUACCACUAUCACCACCACC
This 536-nucleotide unclassified non-coding RNA is filed under the name Hevea brasiliensis (rubber tree). Lineage: Eukaryota; Viridiplantae; Streptophyta; Magnoliopsida; Malpighiales; Euphorbiaceae. The record is from RNAcentral.